RNAcentral lists this ribosomal RNA (311 nucleotides) under uncultured Gammaproteobacteria bacterium. RNAcentral describes it as "bacterial SSU rRNA". It matches the Rfam family "Bacterial small subunit ribosomal RNA", at positions 180 to 491 of the family's 1533-position model. The record is from RNAcentral. Lineage: Bacteria; Pseudomonadati; Pseudomonadota; Gammaproteobacteria.
AAAGAGGGCCCUCUUCUUGAAAGCUCUUGCUAGGUAGAUGAGCCUGCGUCGGAUUAGCUUGUUGGUGGGGUAAUGGCCUACCAAGGCGACGAUCCGUAGCUGGUCUGAGAGGAUGAUCAGCCACACUGGGACUGAGACACGGCCCAGACUCCUACGGGAGGCAGCGAUGGGGNAUAUUGGACAAUGGGCGCAAGCCUGAUCCAGCAAUACCUCGUGUGUGAAGAAGGCCUUAGGGNNGUAAAGCACUUUCAAUUGGGACGAAGAGUGGUAACUUAAUACCUUGCUACUUUGACGGUACCUUUAGAAGAAGC